Nycticebus coucang (slow loris) is the source of this 104-nucleotide small nuclear RNA. Lineage: Eukaryota; Metazoa; Chordata; Mammalia; Primates; Lorisidae. The record is from RefSeq and is a predicted model, not a curated record.
GUGCUUGCUUCGGCAGCACACAUACUAAAAUUGGAACAAUACAGAGAUUAGUGUGGCCUCUGGGGAAGGAUGGCACGUGAAUUUGUAAAGCAUUUCAUAGUAUA